RNAcentral lists this microRNA precursor (61 nucleotides) under Caenorhabditis briggsae. Its description in RNAcentral is "Cbr-Mir-73-P2a_pre stem-loop". The record is from RNAcentral. Lineage: Eukaryota; Metazoa; Nematoda; Chromadorea; Rhabditida; Rhabditidae.
UGGACUUCCUUCUCGUUCCCAGCAAAAUGCACAGUUUGCUGGCAAGACUAGGCAGUCCAGA